AGUAUAUAUUAUUAGUCUUGUGUUUUUAAACAUUAUUUUAAAAGGGAAAGUAUGGAAAAAUCUGUAAUAUUUUAAAAAGUGCUCCAAGAUUUUGCCUUUAGAUUCUGGUCUUGAAAAGACCGUGGCUUUGGUUUGGGAUUAAUUCUCCCUCACUUCUUCCAGAAUGUUGUCAUUUCUAUUCUAUUGUUUUGCAGAUGUAACACAUAUUCUUAAGGUUUCAGGGUACUUUUUAGAGUUACUCAGUGUUAGAAAAGGUGGCCAGCUAUAUGGGUGGAUUUAAUGUACAAUAUAUUUCCAGGGUGGUUGGGGUUUAUUUUUUGAGGUAAGUUUCUUGGUGCUCUAUUUCAGACAUGAUGUUUACAUUUGUGAUAACAGGCAUUCAUGCCCUAGCAGCCUGUGCAUUUUAUAUACCUGGCACUUGGGUCUUGCUAGAGGAUCUAGAAAGAAUGAAAGCAGUCAUAUGGUCCAGUGGAGGAGGCAGACCUAUGAGGUGAUAAACUUCAAAUCAGUGUGAUCCUCACAGUUAAGAGCGGAGAGUUGGUUGAGAUUGAGAGAAUGUUAGACAGCGUUCUUAUUGUACAGAGAAGCAAAAGUCCAGACCACCAGCUCUUGGACCAGUACUGGUCAGCAUCACUGGAGCACGCCUGUUUCCUCCCUCAGCCUUGGACUGCUCAGAGCUGUAAUGCUCAGCUGUGAGACUCUAAGACAUUGGAUUACACUUAACAAAUUUUAGGCCCCCUCUUUACCAGCCUGCCUCCUGAUGGACCUAAAAUCACUUGCCUUUAUGUUGCCUUUCAACUUGUUAAAUUUUUAAAAGUUUCACAGCUCACCCUCCUCCACAAAUCCUGUCUUGGAGUAAGUGAGAGGUAUCUGCUAACAUGUGUUUUGUCUGUCUCCUCUUAGCACUCAGUUACAAGGGCACAGUGUGGGAUUCCCUGUUAUUGCUCAUUUGGAAGGAGAGUGUUCUUUGUUCUUACCCCUCAGAUCUGAUCUCAUUAGAGCAACAGAAUGUUUGAGAUGGAGCCUUAGUUACUCCAGAUGGGCUUUUCUAGUUCUAGCUCACUGGUGGUUUUAGAGUGUAGGACUUGGCAUGAUUGGGAGGGAGGGAGGGUGCUGGAACUCAGGUUCAGAUGCUUUGCUGCGCCUGGAGUGGCUACUGGUAAUAGAGAAUGCUUCCGAGAACCUUGCAGCUGUCACUUGGGUUAUGCUUCGGAUUUAGAAACAGCAUCUGCAGUGGGUUCCUUCAGAACCAGUUCCCAACCACUUUCACUGGGAAAGUAGAAGUUGUAGCUAUCCUUAGGAAGUCCCAAGGCCAAGCAGAGUGUGUAAAGCAGCACCCCCCAGCCUGAGACAACAGCCCCGUUGCUGUUCAUCUCUUCCCAUUUGAUGCCACUGUGUUGCAGGACAUCUUUAUUGUUUUGAAUGGAAUUUAGAGUUAAUUUGGUUCCCCUUCCCCAUUCCUUCAAGAUGGCCCAUACUCUCUGGAGGUGGUUGUAAUCUCAUCUGAGGAACUACUGCCUUACGACUUUCUCAUGCAUUCACAUUUUUCUCUUCCACUGAGUUAAAUUGUGAAUUAAAAUGUGCCAUUGGAUGAAAAAGCAAUGUUUUCAUUUCAGUCAGGCUCUUUUUGUCUGAAAACUGAGUCUUUGGGAUUCCAUGUCUUGAGUGACAGUUUUGUUGUACUAGAGAAGUUGAUGUGUAAAAUUCAGCCUGUGUAAACCAGUGGUUCUCCAUUGUGGCUGCACCUUGUAGUCUUGUGAGGAACCUUUAAAAACACCGCUUGCCCACCAGUCAUCUUUCUGUGGCUUGAGUUCAAUGUGUGUCUCCUUUUCAUCAGAUGGGAAAGAGGUUGGGAUUCUUGCCCUCUUUUCCUGGCAGAUCAUUGAGAUGGCCACAUUUUCUCUGGGUAAUCAGAUUCACCCCUUUCUGCAGGAUGCUCCCCCCCAACCCCUUAAUUUGAAGUGAUUUUUCUCUGCAGCUCUCUGAACCCCUCAUUUGGCUCUUAUAGACUUGACAUCUUGGUUAAUGUCAUCUUUAAAUCUCUAAAAUGUUAUGUUCCAUAUUAACUUGAGCACUCUUCAAGGGCAGGUGUCAUAGUUGUACCCCUAAGGCACAUCCCUAGUAGAAACUCUGCCAGCCCUAUGCCAAGGUCCCAUUUGAAUCCUGGAGUUUGAGCAGAGGAUCAGUUAGGUCUCGUUUCUGCUCUCAGAGGGUUAAAGCUGUAAUCUAGCUGCAGCAGGGUUUAGUAAUUCUGGUGGCUAAAGGUAGAAUGUAAGAGAACAGACAAGGGAGCUCCAAGCCCACAAUUUUUUGCUCACUUUCCAGACACCUGAACUAGAAAUUUCAGACUCUUCCAACUAAAGAAGUCUUAAACUCCUUUUAGUUCUUUUUCCUGUGGAAUGUACUAUCCACCUAUCAGUGACAACAUCACUGGGUCCCAAGCCAGAAAUCCUACUUGGUCUUCGAGUCUUUAAAGUGUCCCUAGAUGGAGGUGAAAUCCUGCGCCCUUGUAUGUUCUGGUCCAAGCUAUGCUCUGACCGUCUUCCUGUCUCAUGCAGAGGUCCACAAAUAUUAAAGGCUAAGCAGUAAAUAUAUUUGGUUUGGGCAGCCAUAUUGUCUUACAGCUAUUCAGCUCUGCCCUUAUAAUGCAAAAACAGCCCAAAGGCAGUAAUUCAGAAAGAAGUGUGUUUGUUCCAAUAAAACUUGAAGUGGGCUGGAUUUCAUAUGUACUUUGUCAAUCACUUACAUGGGCAUUGCAUGGAUAACCUUAACCAGGGUCUGCCAUAAUUAACUUUUGGGAACAUCCCUGUUGUUACUGUGUCCUGCUUAGAUAUCUGCAUGACUCCCUGAGUCCCAAGAGACACUGCUCUUUGAGUGCAGCAGCCAAACCCAGUGAUGACUACGAGCCUCAUCUUGACAUUAGUGAGGUGGAACCAGUGAUGCUCAUCCGCCUCCUGGCCUUGCACAAGGUGGUUACAGAUGACAAGAAUCUAGCUGGUUUCUCUGCUACCCUCAGUGUCUGUGUUGUCCAUGUAAAGGGCUUUAUAAACAUCGGAUUCCCAGCCAGUGCACACAAAGUUGAAGGGUAGAAUUAGGAUAUGCUGAUGAGCCACUGGUAUAUUGAAAUACAAUGAAGAUAAUGCCGGUUAAACUCUUCUCAGUUGACGUAUUGUCCCUGUGUAUUGUCUAGAAAAUACCAUCUGUAGCUGUUAUUAAACUAAAUGCUCUAUUCAUGGAAAGGUUCAUAAGUGUUCUAUACCUUUUGUAUGUUCUCUAGAUGCAACUGCUGAUUUGUUAACCUGGAGUUGGUAUCAUGGCUCCAGAUGUGGCACUAGAAGGCCAGGCCUUUGCCUAGAAAAUUGGCUGAGUUUCCCUGCAUCAAUGCUACUCAACCUUGGGUUGAAUCUGCUUAUACCUUGGAUUUUUGAGAAGCAGUAAAGCAUCAUGGCAUGCUCUGCCUUGUUGAUCCCUUAUGUAUUCUGACAUCACCUGCUCAAAAUUGCCUUGCACUCCAGACUGAGGGAGGUUCCUGAAGCAGAACGAAGGAGUGGCUUACAGUGUUUAUUAAUGUAGGUGCUGAACAAAAGCUUUGCCUCUGUUCAUCCCAUUGCAGGCUGGCUCCCUGCAGCCCAGCAUACUAAUAGUUGUUUUCUUAGCACCACCCGCACUUUCCCAUGGCCCAUGGGGCCUGAGACAACUUCUCACCCUACCAAGAGCCAUCACCUCACCGCGUCCUGCCAGGAGAGGACCAGGCCCAGAAAGCCACAAAAGCUAUUCAUUCCUUCAGUUCAGUAGUCAGCCGUUCUGCAAAGGACUAGGUGGUAAAUAAUUUGAGCUUAUGGGCCAUAGAAUCUGUUGCAGCUACUUAGCUCUGCUUCUGUAGAAUGAUUGUAACCUUAUUUCUUACAUAAGUGAAUUGGCAUGGUCAUAUGUCAGUAAAACUUUAUUCAAGCAGGAAGCAGGCUGAAUUGGCCCAAGGGUGUUUGUCAGUCCCUUUUAGGAUCUUUCCACAGUGGUUUAUUUUAUCACAUUGCAAAAAAUAAUACUAAUACCAGCCAACACUUAAUAGCACCUGCUAUGUGUCAGGUACUCUUCUAAGCAUAGCUCAUAGCCAGCCUUGUUGAAUCUUCACAACCACCCAUGUGGUAGGUGCUGUUCCCCAUUUGAAGAGACCAAGGCCCAGGUUAGUGCAGUUUUCCCAGUCAUACCUCUGAAAGUGGUGGAGCCAGGGCUGUUACCCAGGGGCUACCCCAAAGUCACUCAAAACCACUGCUCCUCCAGCCCCCCAUCUCAGAACUGUGCUCCAUGCCUGAGACAUUAACUAAGGGUGGAUGUAAGCAGCCCUAAUAAUAAAAAGUUCUCUCCGAGGCUGAGAUCCUGUGUUCUUAAAUACUGAGGAAGAAGCAAACUUCCAUGACUGAUUCUUCCCAGAAUUCAGAGCCAAGGAAAUACUUCUCUUUAGACUGUCUGAAGCGCUCCCUCAGUUGUGUCAGGAAACUCCCAGGUUGCAUUCUCCCUCCAGCACAGGCCACCAAUUCAGGCAGGGCUUCCUGUUCUACCUCAACACCCCAGUCACUCUUUAAGCUUCAUUUUGUAUCCAUGCUGUGAGAGAUGGGUUCUGGUUCUCGCAGACCCAAGCUUUCUAUUCUAAGUGCCCUGGAAGUACUUAGGGGGAAAGGUUCCCUGGUAAUUCAGAUACAUUUGGCAAAAUGGACAGUGGCUGCUUCAUGGAGGGAAAAAUCAAAAUAAGCACUGCAUCCAGCAAGAAACGGCCUGUGCACACAGGGAAGGGAGCUGGCAAGGUAUUUUGUUAGCACAAUAGGAUUGCAAGUAGUUCCCUCUAUCCCUGAAUUACCUUUAUCUGUUUUUACUGUACUGGAGAAUCUUAUUUAAAACUCCUUGUAGUGAACAGGGCCUCAUGAAUGGUACCCUAUAUGUGACUGCCUCCUCUCUCUGGGGAUGAGGUCUUUUGGUUCGGCAUCUGCUGACUCAUGAACUCAGUCCUCUUCCUAGGCACAUGCCAGAAAUUUGAAGGGAUUUCAGGAUUCCUCCCAGCCCCUUCCAACCAGGCAGGCUCAGAUUUUCCACUUGUGCAUUGAGGUCAGCGCCUGCAUUUCUGCUGGCGAGCUCCCCACACAUCAGUACCCGGCCUCAGCCGGGGGCUUCUCCCACUUGCCCUGGAAUUCACUCCCCACACAGGUCUUCCCUCCCCCCAGGCUGAGCAUGAGCCCCACCUUACCCAGUUGUGGGGGUGGCUGCUUUGGUGACUCUGGGCAGCCUGGCUGUGCCCUGGCCCUGGGCCACCAGGAUGAGAGGGCGGCCCCUGUGUUUGCUCAAGCCUUCCUGGGAUAGGGAGGAGACUUCUGGCCAGGCAAGGAACAGCAGGAUUACUGUUGCUUGUGAAGAGCUUUGUCCCCUUUCCUUUUUAGUGUAUCUAGAAAAGGUGCUCAGCAAUCCUGACUGGUAGGGUUUUACAGUGAAUAUGGCUCUUCUCUGUCCACACUGGUCUUGGGGACUUCGGCAUCUUUAAGUACCUGGAUUCCAAGCCUACCACCUCCACUUAGCAGUCCCACUUACUAAAGCCUCAGUCUCCAUGAACCUCAAAGUGGAAGUUUGGGCAAUCGUACCAACGUGGAAUGUGGCCAUGUGGCAAAAAAUGUAUAUAUAGUACAUGCAUAAAAACCUUUACAACACUGAAUUUGUCCCUUGACUGGUCUGUCAGUAAGCCAGGGUGACCAGUCAUCCCAUCGUUCCCAGGACAGAGGAUUCCAGACCAGGCUUUGAUAGUAAAACCAGCAUUGCCCUGGGUGAACUGGGGCAAUUGGUCACCCUAUUGUGAACUCGAAUGUCAGCAUUCUUUAAGCCAGUGGCUUACUUCUCAAAACAGAUUCAAAAGCUAAACUAAAAGUGUAUAGGAGACCAACAGUGUUGUUUUGUAACCUUAUGCUCCCCAAACCAAGCCUAGUCCCCGUCUCUCCAGGUCUAGUAGGCCACAGAAUGGUUCAAAACUAGGGGUAGGGUAGGGUGCAUGGAAGCUCAUCUCCAAGGAGGUACUCCAAGGAGACAGCACUUCUUGUGGGCAGGGUGACCCACUGUCCUGGGAGCGAGCGAAUCAUUACACCCAGACACCAUCCUGGCAGUGAGCGCAUGAUCCUUCCUCUCUUGGAGGAUAUGAAUACACAGGACAAGAAGCUGCUCUUGGCUGAAUAGAGACAGAACUUCCUGUAGCCAUAGACCCCCUCACUGAAAGGAAAGCAUGUCCUGUCAUCCCAUCUUGGCUCUGAGCUGGUGAGGCCACGUGUGUUGGCCUGGCUACCUUCUCUGUUUCUGCCUAGCUGUUGCCCCUUACCUUGAGGCUCCAGCCGCAGCAGCCUUAUUCUAGAUUCUCCAAAGCCAAAGCCCCUUUCCUUCCCCUGUUCUUCCUUUGAUCUCAGCCCAGGGGCCAUGUCCUUGAGGAUUCUUUCCCUGAACUAAAUAGGCCACCAUUCAUACUGGGUGCUGCCGCCCCAGCCAGCCCGGGAGCUCUGUGAGGCAGAUACCAAGAUGGUGGUGGUGCUGGUCCAAGUCCCUGUGGCCUGAGCCGACCCACUGCUUGCCACAGAGCAGAGCAGUCUGUGCUUAGCAGAGUUGAUUUGAAUGAAUAGAACAGAGAAGCCUAGAGUUUAACCCCUUUCCUCCCAAGCCUUUUCCAUAGGCAGCCUGCCUGCCACCAUUAGCCAUUUCCCAUAGCAUAACCCAGGCCCUAACCAAGUAAGAGCCACUCUACCUCAUUUCUCUCCCAUCCUUUGUGAGAAAAUACUUUCAUUUUAUGACUAACUCUGCUCCUCAUUUCUCUCAUGUUAUCUUAAUGAAUUAACUGGGUCCCCAUCAUUCCCCUGGCCCCCUGCAGUUUACGAGCUGUACUGCAAUAUCUGCGAUCUUAGUCAACCCCACACAGUUGUUGUGCUGGUUCCUAUUACAGUAAUUGGCAUAAACUUUAUUCUUUUACAGAGAGAUUUUUUGGCCCGCUGAGACUGCAUAACCAUCUGCCAUAAAUUGAGACUAGUACGGCUUAUUUUGGUGAAUGCAAAAUUGGAUCCCAUUCUUUACUCUGUGGCUUGAUUCAACUUCCAGAUGGUUAAUCCACAUGAAGUAAUAGGAAUGCACCACAGCUCUGCUUAGCUGAAGAUGGAGACGUAAUAUUUAUUUGCUGAUGUGGAGGCCUCCAAUCGCUGCCCAGUCGGAAUGUCAGUAUAUAACACAGCAGCACAAAAAUGUCAGCUUGUUCCGUAGGAGCGACGGCUUUCCUCUCAGUUUCCAUGGGGAAACCUUGAAUGUCUUUUUUUUUUUCUUUUUUGGUCUGCCCUUGACCUAAUCUCAAGAGGUUUUGUUCUCUCUUGGGCUGUUUCUUAUCAGCUACGUCUGCCCAUGUAGCCGGCUUCACAUCUGCUUUGACUUUAGUGCCUGUGACAUUUUCAUUAAUACUUCUCCAAGGUUGAGCCUUUUUUCCAAAUAUCCUACAGCUCACAGAAGCUUUAACUCAGCUGUGCCCAGCUGGAAGCUGCUGGGAAAUUGGGCCCCAUGAUACCCACAGGCUUGGACAUCUCCAUCCUAUUGAGGGAACAGUUCUCUAAUCUCAGUUCCAAGCUCCGCCUGGCUGGCUUACAGUUGCCACUGAGAAAAGACUGGAAGAAGGAAUAGUUGGGUACAAGAAAAUAUUCAUGGUAGGGAAAGCGACCCAUGCCUGUUUCCCACAUAUGUCUCCAAAGUUUUGGGAUGGACUUGAUUGGAAAUUAGAUCAAGGAAAUUUUAGUAGUAUGAGAAUUCUAUCUAGGCUUUUUUUUUUCUUUUAAAGAAUGAAAACCUUGAACAUUUCAAGAAUGAAACAAAUAAGAAAACAUCUAAAAAUUCUAAAAUGGAAUGGACUGGAACCAUGAACAGUCUGUGGGAUUGCUCUUUCUUCCUUAAUUUUCACAGGAGCAGGUAGUAAGAACAAAAGGCUGGCCCCUUGUACCUGAUUAAGGAAGCCCAACAUGCUUUGGUGCUUUCAGAUGUUUAAAAUCUCCAGCACAACAAGUACACCUGCAUGUUCAGAUGACUCAAGUGUGAGGUCUCCAGGCUGGGCAGUGAGGGCCAGCAACUGAGAAAUAGGCCAAUGAACCUCGGUUCCUCAGCCUAUGCAGGGCUAACCCAAGGAAUGACGUGUCCUAUCACCUGAGUUAACCCCCAGCCUUACUCCAAGUAGCCCUAUUGCUUUCAGCAGCAGCUUUUAGCCUGUCUGUCCCAUUCAUGUCUGCACAGUGUAGGUGGAAAGACCCAAUUCUUCUCUGUGUUUGGGUAGAUAUGAAGGAUUCUUUGCAUGGGUUUUGCCUGCCCAUGGAAUGCUGCAAUUGGUCCCACACACUGCCUGCAAUCAUCCCUUUGGCAAGAGAGAACAGGAAAUAAGCCGAGCCAGGAACUGAAAAAGCCCAGUGGUCACCCACCUGUGUCAAACCCACUGGACUUAGUGGCAGCAUUUAAGUGGAUGAGUUAACACUCCAGCAGUGGGUUGAGCUGUGAGCCCAGGAAAGCUGGAGAUCUGGCUCCACCCAUAGCUCCCCAGCUGGGUCAAGUAUGCCCCUCAGGCCCAGCAUCAGGUGCAUCAGCAGAUCCUGUUGGCUCUACCUUCAAAAUCUGUCCAGAUCCAGUAUUUCCUUUUCCCUGUAACAACAAAUCUAACCCAGCAAGCAACCAUCCUCUCCCUGGAUUGUUGCUCAGAAGUUUCCUGUCUGGACUCCCCUCCCCUAGGGGACCCACAGGGUUCCUUUUAGAUAUCAAACAGGUUGCAUGCCUCUGCUCGAAGCUCUCACGUGUAACUCAGAGUGGAAUGUAGAUUCCUUAUUGACCCUCUUAGGUCCCCUCUGUCCUCAUCCUCUCCCAGUCUUCCCCUCCUUUACUGCAGCCACACUGGCACCUGCUGGCUACUUCUCCAACCCACCAUGAGGCAGGUCUCAGCACCAGCUCAUCCUGUUGCCUGGAAUGAUCUACCCAAUCCCUCAUGGCUCCCUCCCCCAAAUCACAUCUUCAGGAGCGUCCCUCCCAUCUGAAUUCUUCCUGGCACUUACCACUCUGUGCGUGUGUGUGUGUGUGUGUGUGUGUGUGUGUGUGUGUGUGUGUGGACUAGAAGUUCCAUGAGAAUCUCUUGGCAGUAAGCAUUUGCAGUGAGUGACUCCACCAUUCCUCCCAUGUCAGAAUAGGCAGCAACUCUCAGUGAACCACACAGUAGUUGCAAAGAUCACAUAAAACUGAACAGGGCUGUCCAAAUGUAAUAAUGGCCAUUAAUGUCUCCACCCCAGAGCGGUGAUUCUGGAGCAUUCUGUGUAAUUGGAGCACAAUUAAGCAUAUGGCAGUACUUCCACUGGGUUGUAGAUCUGAUUCCGAGCUUACUCAACAUGGACUCUGGUUUCUUUCUUUUUUCCUGUAAGAACAAAUCUGGAUCCGCCAUCAGCAGGCCCUGUGGUCUGGACCACAAGGGAAUACUGGGGAAUGAGAUUCAUGCUAACAGGGCUUAAUCCCGAGGCAUUGGGCUAUAUAUCCAAUGACAAUUUUCUGGAUUUUGCAGCCAACAUAAAUAACAGCAAGAGGAUUCCCACUGUGUGACGUGAGAUGCAUCCUGCUGGGAUAGGGUAGGAAGCUGCCCUGCCUGAGCUACAAGCAAUGGCAGGGCCUCCGAGGGAGUCAGCAGAGCUGCACCUGCCAUCCCCUUUCACAGGCAACCAGCAGUACUCACUGCCCAUCUUGCUUGCUCUUCAGUGCCUCCAGGCUCUGGGCAGAGCCUGCUCAGCAUGAGGAGGACUGAUGGCUCCCAGCAAAGGUUAGUAUAAAGGCACUUACUUCCCACCCAAUUCAGCUAUGUGGCAAAAAUUUCUUUUGGGUGUGUGCAAAUCGUAUCUUUCUUACUGGACUUACCUUCAGAGGGACGAAGUCUGCGUUUUAGUGGCCAGCCUGUGGAAACUUGGAAGCCAUCAGUGGCACCUCAUUUGUAUAGAUGAUACAGUUAAGGAAGGGAGGUGUCUUGUAGAGCAGGAUUAGAAAUGCUUGUGUAUCUUUCCAUGAGGGAGUGAAUAGAUAAGGGCUGUUCAUAAAAUAGAAUAUUAUACAGCAAUAAAAAGGUGUGAGCCAAGGAUGGGGGUGAGCUCUUGCCUGGGACAAACAAGGUCCUGAGUUCAGUCACCAGUAUUGCCCCCUCCCCCGUCCCCACCAAAAAAGGAGUGAAGUGUGGCUACAGUUACCAGCAAGGAUAAACCUUACAAGUUAAUUUGGACAGAGAGAAGUUGCAGGUAAGCCACAGAGGAUGAUAAUAUCCAUGUUCACUAAAGUCAUCUACCCAAAGCCAUGCUGUUUGUUGUUCUUGGAUACAUAGAAGAUGGCAGACAGCUUGGAAGGAUGAGACCACCUUAAAUACACAAUGGCCCGUGUCCAUGGCAGGGAGGAGGGGAGUUGAGGGCAACCUGGAGUGAUAAUGAUGCUGAGCCACUCAUAGACAAGUGUCCUUGAGGGGAUAAACUGGUUCCAGUGUACCUGCCAAUUAAAAAUAAACAAGGCUCCUGCUAUCUCCCAGCAUGCACCAUGGCACAGCCUGGCCAAGCGGCCCAUGAGCCAUAGUUGGCCUCCCCAUUGAGUCCUCAAACAAUCCCAGCUACUGGAGGCUAAAGCGAGGGGACUGAGAGUUUGAGGUCAGCCUGGGGAACUUGGGAGAUCCUGUCUCAAAAUAAAGAGCUGGGAGGCCGGGGAUUUAGCUCAGUGGUUCUGUCACCUGCCUUGCAAGCGCAAGGACCCAAGUUCAAUCCCUGGUACCAAAACAAAAAUAAAUAAAGAGCUGGGGAUGUAGCCUGGUAGAUAGAGCACUUGCCUAGCCUGUGUGGGGCCCUGGUUCAAUCCUCAGCACUGCAAAAACAAAAUGAAACAAAACAAAAAACCUACAGGAUGUUUGCAUUCAUAAAACCCAUGUUCAGGCUGAAUGUCCCUUAUUUAAAGUGUGUGAGACUAGCAGUGUUUCAUGUGUUUUCAAAUUUUGGAAUAAUCAUACAGACUGUCCUGGCUAAACAUCCCUAAUCGGAAAUUAUCAAAUCCAAAAUGCUCCAAAAUCCAGAACUGUGAGUACUGACAUGAUGCUCAAACACUUUUGGAUUUUGGAGCACUUCAGAGUUUGGAUCUUCAGAUUAGGGAUUCUCAGCUAGUGCGAGGAGAGCUUUCUCAGCCAACAGAUACAAGCAACCAUGCACUAGCUUAUUCUCCCUUCUCCUGAGAGCAUCUGUGUAGCCCUCAAUCUGUGUGGGAAAUUGUUGUCUACUUGUUCUGUGUCUGCUUGGUUUUGCUCUUCCCUUGCUCUUGGUAAGGGAGCUUGAUUUGGCUACAGCACCCCUUCCUCAAAGGCCAGUUUUCUUCUUUGGUUCUUGUCUUCUCUUUAUCUGACCCCACUCGCCUGGAACAGCUUCUCUACCUCACAAGCUCUGCUAGGUGGGAUCCAGAUGUCAAAGCAAGGUAGUUCCUCCCCUCAGGAGGCUUACAAUUCACUCUGCUCCCUUCUUUAGGCAGGUCAUUGAGUGGAAGGCAGGGCUGGAGGUGGAGGAAAGGCAUCACCAAGGGAGAGCACUGACCAAAGCAUGAGCUUUUGUAGAAGCCUCGACAGGCAGCCAGCCAGGGGUGCAGAGAGGGGGAAGAAGGGAGAGGACGUGGAGCACAGGUUUCUGGGAAACCAGGAAGGUGGCACUACGUUACAAAGAAAGGGGCUCUGUCCACCUGCAAGAGCCAUCUACCCAGUGCCGUGCUGUUUGUUGUUCCUGGAUACUGAGUAAAAGAUGGCAGACAGCUUGGAAGGAUGAGACCACAUUAAAUACACAAUGGCCCACGUCUGUGGCAGUGAGGAAGGGAAAAGUGAAGGUCUCAAGGAUCCACUCAUGUGGGUUGGGCAAAAGGAGGGCGCUGGCUAAGAGUCCACCCAGGUUGAGACAAUUAGGGGCAUAAUUUGGAAUGAGUCAUCUUGGUGGAGGCCAGAGAAGUAGGGUGCUGGGCGGGUGUGGUCCUCUUCAUCGUAAUUGCUGCCGACUCUAGCCUCCUCUGACAGGGCACUAAGCUAAAUUAAUCCACAGCUGAAUCUCCUUGCAGUGUGGUUAGGAAGAGCAAAUCUGCCUGAACCUGACACCAAGUGACCUGGUGAGGACCCUGACCUGGGGGCAGGAAGUAGGGGACGAGACGUGGGGGAGAACAGGCAAGUUGUAGCCCUGUUCCUUUCUGCAGUAAUGCCCCAGUUUGGGGCUGGGAUGCAGCGGAGUGAUAGAAUGCUUGCCUAGCAUGUGUGAGACCCUGAGCGCCAUCCCCAACCCUAGAAAUAACUGUCCUAGUGUGGGGCUGGUGAUGAGGCACAGUGACAGAGCCCUUGCCUAGCAUGUGUCUUGGAUUCCAUCCCCAGCACUGCAAAAAUAAUAAAGCCCUAAUCUUGGAAACAGCAAUAAUGUCAUAGACCAUCAGUUCUAAGAAGUACUCUUAGCUGGGCUGGCAUAUGCCUGUAGUCCCAGCACUCUGGGUUGGUGGGGGGGGGGGCAUGAAGGCAGGAGAAUCACAAGUUCAAAUCCAAUGUGGGCAACUUAGUGACUUAGUGAGAUCCUGUCUCAAAAAAUUAAAAAGUUUAAAAAGGACUGGAGAUGUGGCUCAGUGCAAAGCCCCUGGGUUCAAUCCCCAGUAUGAGGAGACAGCUUUACCUGGACUCACACUGCAGCCCCAUGACUUCCAGAUCCCGUGGGUCACAUCCUGUUUCUGAGCCUUACGUCGCUCCUCUGUAAGAAGGUGGGGGAGGCAGUAAGAGUCCCCAUGUCACAGGUGCUGGAGGACUCUGCAUAACAUGCAGGCAGUGCUUCAUGGAGAGCCUGGGCACAGAACUAGACCCCUGCUGGGCUGAGCGAAGGCCCCGGAGUCUGUUGCCAGGGUUGGGAGUGUCCACUGUCUGACUUUCCAUCUCCUUUUAAUAGCAGGAUGGGGCUGGGGAGUGGCCUCAUCAUGGAAGCACCAUAAUGAUUUAAGGAGAUUAGGUACAAAAAGCUUAGUGUGCAUUGGCGUCCUUGCAAAAUUAGGUGCUCUGUAAAAUGCAUUCAUUCAUUCGAGAUGAGGCCUUACUUUGUGGCACACACUAGUCUUGAACUUCCGGGCUCAAUGGCUCCUUCCACCUCAGCCUCCUAAGUAGCUGCAGCUCCUGGUACAUGCCACCACACCCAGCUCCAUCAAAAUUUACGUUAUUCUGUGAACAGUCUAUACUGUUUCAUAGAUUUUUUUGGGGGGGGUCCUUCCACAUGACCUUUGUGUGGGCUGUUUCUCCUGCCAGGAAUGUGGCUGGCUCUUUGGUUUUGUGUCCACUCCCCACUGCCCUGUGUUUACUCUGUGCCUGUGGAGUGCUCCAGGGAAGCUCCUCCAUCCCUGCCUGUUAAUGGCUAGCUCCCCUUUGUCGUUACCUCUCCCUUUAGUCUGUACAAGACAGGGACACGACACCUUCCCUACUUCCACACAUGGACUGUAGCUCACAAUCAAAGCUCAAUGUUGAGUGAAUGGUGGAUGGGGGCUUGCAUCUCCAGAAAACUCCUAAAGAGUGAAUUAAAAGCAAAGAAUUUGGGCCUGGUGUGGGUGAGGAAGAGAGUUAUUGUGGGCAGAGGACAAGGCACAUUUGGGGUCAGAUGAGGCUGUAUUCAGAGCCCAGCUCUGGCCUUACAAAUUUGCUGGUGCUGCCCACAUACAGAGCCUCAGUUUCUUCAUCUGCAGAACGGGGAGAAUGAGGUGCCCGCCUGUGAGUUUCUGGGAAGAGUAAAAAUACAACUCAAUCUGUGCACAGGUUACUUUUGCCACAUUACUUGAAAGGGGGGGAUCUUUAACCAGCGAGGGACACUCUAGGAUCCUCCUGCACCUGGUGCCUGGGGAUGUGCUGUAGAGAUGAGGCUGAGCCUACUGUGGAGUCAUAAUUGCUGGGUCAGAUUUAAUUGUGUGCUGAAGGCAGAUGGCUGAAGGCCGGGCAGCUGUGACACCUCACUCGUUCUGUUUGCUCACCUGAAGCUCUGCCCUGGGGACCCAGGGCCCUCUACUCCCAAGGUCCACACAAAGGUCGGGCUGUGGCAGCACGGAUAUGUCUAGGCAAUUCUUGCCUAUGGUGGAGGCAUCCCAGGCUGUUGUUCCUUCUUGGCCUGCAGUGGGGGAAUUGUGAGUCAGGCAAGGGCUCGGGAUGGUUGGUGAAAAGAGAAGGCCCUGAGUGCAAGGCAGGUUCAGGAGGGGGAAGGCAAAUAGGAUCACAAAGAAUCUUUGUCUCCAGAUGGGAGCUGCAGGACCUGCAGAAUGAGGGGUGCGAGGACUUUUGCAAACAGCCCGAGGUGUUGCCACACCAACCACGUGGUGUUUCCUCACACCCGUAUCUCCCUCCUUCCUGUCUGCACAUGCAUGGCUUGUGUGGCUGCAGGCACGUGUGCAGCCUCUUUUCGCGAGAUUGCCCAUGUUUCUGCAUGCUUCUCAUAGUUCACAUUUUUUUUUUUCCGGUACCGGGGAAUAGUUCACAUUUUUAAUGGUUACUAAGUUGUCUGUGGUGGUGUCUCAGGAGUAACUAACACGCACUUGUGCACACACACACACACACACACACACACUGCACCACACCUUUGCCACCUGCAGCAUUCACAUGGCUGCUAGCUUUCCACCAAGAUAGACAGCACUGGGACAAACCCUUUACGUGGAUUGUUUGUUUUUGCUGCUUCUGAAUUCUCUCCUGGGUCUUCCUCCCUAAUUUUGCCAUUUGGGGUUGAGGAUGACACUUUCAUCAGGGCUGUUCAACACAGGGACAGAUUGUCUCACACGGCAGUGAGUCUCUUGGGCCUGAGGGUGUGCAAGACAACUGGGACAGCCAUCCACUGAGCUGGCAACUACUUGUUGGGCUCACAGUGUGCCAGUCCUGUGUUAGGUGCUGAAGAAACAGACGACACCACCUUCUCCUUCCUGGAGCUCACACUAGGGGAAGAGAUGUGAAGACCUCGCAGGUUGUGCCUUGCUGUGCUGUGACUGGAAGUUCAGGGCUGCUGGCUCCUCUGACUGGAACCGGCUCCAGUGCCUGGGUGAUGAGUCCCUGGGUGUCACGUGCUUCGUGGGACUUCUGCUCCAUCAGUCUGCAGUUCUUUCAUCCCUGGGUGACCUUGUAAUUCAGAGGCCCAUGUGUGAGGCCUGCCUCAGUCAUGGCUGGGGACCAGAGCUUGCGUGAAGCUUCUCUGAAUAUUUCCCUGCACAACUGACUCCUGUCCAACUGAAACUUUGCACUCUGACCAAUAUCACUGGCUUCCCCCUCCCACCCUGCCAUGGCAACCACCAUGCUCUCUGCUUCUGUAAGUUUAUUUGUUGAGACAGGGUCUCUCUCUGUAUUCUAGGCUGGCCUCAAACUCACUGUGUAGCCCAGGCUGGCUUUGAACUUGUGAUCCUCUUGCCUCGGCCUCCCAACUGCUAGGAUUAUAGGCAUGCACCACUGUGCCUUGGAGUUGCCAUUUUUAGGUUCCACGUGCAAGUGAGCUCAUUUGGUAUUUUUCUUUCUGUGUCUGGCUUACUUCACUUAGCAGCAUUUCUUCCAGGUUCAUCCAUACUGCAAAUGACAAGAUCUUUUAUAAGGCUGAAUAAUAUUCCAAACCUGUGUGUAUGUAAUUGUUGCCAACUAAAAAUAAAUUUGUCAACCAAAAUUCAA
Non-coding RNA from Heterocephalus glaber (naked mole-rat), 15712 nucleotides. The record is from RefSeq and is a predicted model, not a curated record. Lineage: Eukaryota; Metazoa; Chordata; Mammalia; Rodentia; Bathyergidae.